Molecule: non-coding RNA, 4204 nt
Organism: Podarcis lilfordi (Lilford's wall lizard)
Lineage: Eukaryota; Metazoa; Chordata; Lepidosauria; Squamata; Lacertidae
Source: the annotation of a GenBank genome assembly
GACUUUGCAUGACAUGAACUCUUAUCAUCACCCUUCAGCGACAAAAGAACACAGGAAGGGAACAGCCACCUAGAAUGACAGCGAUAGGGAGAAGCCCAGAUACUCCCAGUUCCCACCACAGAUUCUAUCUGAAGUAGGUGAGACUACAUUCCUGUGCCUCGUGAUCUGGCUCUGGCAUGAGAUUAGCUACCCUGAGAUCAGCAGGGCACUAACAGUAUGGGGGAGAGGAAGGAGGCAAAGUGAAAACCUGGAUGCAUUUAAUGUUUGGGGAAAUGGCUAACAUGGAGAGACAACUGAGUGAACUGCUUUGAUGCAUAUUUCCUUUCAAAGAGAUUUAUAGUGUGUGAAGUUCUGAGGCCACACCAGAGACUGCAGCUGAAAGAAGCCAGGCAAAAGACUAGGUCUGCCUGAACUAAAAUGAAGCAUUUUUAAAGGGGGGGGGCAUAUCUAUGGAACAUAGGACACUUACUGUUUCUUUUGUCCCUUUGAGGACCAGUUCUCCAAAAUGCUUUAAGUAGCUCUGUGGAUAUAACCGUUAUCGAGGAAGAAGUACAUCACCGGCUGUGAUCAUGUUUACAGUCACUGUGCCUCUGCAAUGUUUCGUGCAAACAAGGCAGCUGAAAAAUGUGCCAUGAUCACACCAAUGAAUGCCCCAAAGCAGCAUCUGUCAGUGUGGCAGACUUGCUGAUGAGAAUCCUUCCUUCAUAGGAUUGCGUCCAUGACAGACAAUGUACUUUUGUACUCCAAAUCUUUCAUAAUUUUAAACACAACUACAGCUUCUUUACAAACUUAACACUGAAUACAAUCUCUUGGAUACACGCAGGGCUCGUCAUAUAACAAUUUUGUAGCAGCAACGGGAUAACUUCCCACUUUAAUUGAUUCCUUUACAAGAGCAUUGGUCCAGCACAGUUAAUGGGAUAAUUGGUAACAUGAUAUUUUAUGCAUUCAUUCAUUCUUUUCUUUUCUUUUUAAAAAUAUCCUGCCAGUAAGAAUUGCUUUCAGGGCAGCCAACAACACAUGAUAAAGCAAUUAGUAACAUAAAAUCAAAAGCAGUAAAUAGUAGGAUUAGAAACAGCAAGAUUUGAAACAGAUAAGCUAAAACCACAAGAUAAAAACUCACCCCAGCCAACAUUUAGGAAGGUGCCUUAUAGAAGUCACAGACUAUUGGCCCAUCUAAUGCAGGUUUUUUUUCUGCACUGGCUGGGAGAAUCUCAGCAGGAUUUCAAACAGGGUUCUUUCCCCAGCCCUACAUGAAGAUGAACCUGAGUUCUUCUGUGUGCAAAGGAUGGGUUCUGCCACUGAGUUAGGGCCUGGGAAAAUAAAACUGUUUCCUGAUGCUUGAAGAGACUUGAGUAGGUGCCAGCCAGCAAGCAUCACAACUGUCAAAUGGGUGUUGGAAAGAGCAGCACUGUGCGAGAGAAGGCCUUGCUUCAUAAGGCAAACCAAUGAAUGCUUAAGUGCAGAGGCUUCACAUUUUUAUUCAAAGAAAACUGUAUUUUAUUAUGUGGCAAGGCCCUGCUACAGCUUGGAGUGUUGUCUUUCUUACGUGCUGCCCACAAGUACUCGAGUGGCACAAAAGGGAAAGUGUUCAUUCAGGAAAGAACUGAAUAAAAUUAAGAAACGAGUCCACUGUGGAAAGUACUAACUAAAUAAACGGUGCUCAGUUUGUUCAUGUGACAUUGACAUAUCUGUGGGUGAUAUUCCAAGUUAGUCAUACAGGAGCCCCAAUGAAAUUGACAGACAGGUAAUUUAAGUCCAUUGAUUUCACAGGGUUUGCUCUGAGUCUGACUAACAUUGGAUACCACACUAUAGUUAUAUACUGAGAGAAAGGGGGCUAUAAAUUUCCUUUGGAUUCUGAACAGUGGAAAUAUGCCUGCACUAUUUGCAAAAAUCCAAAGAUCAAAAAUCAGUAGGCAGGGACUGUGGACUUUCCUCAAAGAAGGUUCUUGAAUAAUGGGAUUGUUUUUCUUCUCUGAGGAAAGAGGCUGUGUGUUUUCAAAUCCACAAUCUCAUUUCCAGUUUAAACAGCUGUUCAAACACAACUGGAGGAAAAUUUGAAGCAGGUUCUGUAGCAGCAUUCUGUCAGGAUUAACAGAUUACUGUGGACCUUGAUCACUUUUAACUCUCUCAGUUCUAUUUUUCCAAUAAACUGAACAGACAAAUAUUGCAGCCUGAAAUAUAUCUGUUUGGGAACAGAAUAAUUUAAAAGUUGCAGUAACCAUAAGUGGAGUGAUACAUUCUGGUGUCAGGGUUGGGAGUUUUUAACCUUUGUUUUCUGUGUCACAUGCAUGCCACAACUUGUAAAUAUAACAUAUGAGAAUAAAGAAGCCUCAAUCCAUUAGUGAUCAUAAUAUCAAUAUACAUAUGUAGCAGGGAUUUUGUGGAAUGGAUCAUCUUUCAGGUCCAGUAAUCAUCUUGUUCUGGCAGUCCUUCUGUAUGUUAACAUGGGAAUUUGCCAAUAUUCCAAGUCAAACCAUUGUCCCAUUUAGCUCAGUAUUAGCCACCUCUCCAUGGUUUCAGCAAGAUUUCCAGGGAUUGAACCUGGAACCUUUCUUUGGGUUCAGAACCAUGCAUAGUCCAACGAGUGUUGCCCUUUUAAUAUCUCUGAAUGCAUGGUCAGGUUGUUCUCCAACCACUUGUACUGAACCUGGAUCCCCCCAAUCAAUCCAAUCCAAUCCAAUCCAAAUAACUUUACUGAACUAGCCAUUGGCCAUGACAAAUCUGAAUCAAAAAUAAAUACAAGCAAAAGGGGUGUAGUGCCACAAAUAAUGGUCUCUAUUUAGAUCUCUGUGUCUCCCUUGCAGUUCACUGCUAUAUUGUCCAGGGUUUUCUUUCUGAUCUUUUUGGCCGCCAAAGCAAAAAUGGUGACUUUAUGAGUCACUGAAGCAUUUACAUCACUAAGAAGCCAUAGGGCCUUCUCUGUCGGGGAGAGACCUCUUUCAUGUACGGAUGGUAAGGUGAGAAAUUGCCUCCUGGGUCCAAUGUAUAGUGGGCAAUAUAGCAAAUAGUGCAAUAUGUCUUCCACCUGCAGUUGCCCACAUAACACAGGGUCUGUCUUUGUAUGGUACCCUGUUAUAUCAUCCAUCUAAGACGGGGGAAGGCAUAGCUUGAAAAUGCAGCUCAAUAAAAGCGAAUCUAAGUGAGGCUGGCUGGAGAUUCAACAGGUAGCUGGCUCUAAAAUGGACUGUUUUCAGAAAGAGGAACCAAGGAGGAGUGCAGUGUAGGCACUCUUUCUCCUGUCAAUAACUCCCUUCAGUGGUGGGAAGGAAUGUGAUGAAAAUUUCUGCCCUUUUAUAUCUUAGAGCUUAAUGGCCAGUGGAGAGCUCCGCAGGGAAACUGGGUCUUGUGAUCAUUCUUCUCACUUUCCUUUAAAACUGAUUCAUGUUAGUGAAUGCCACAACUACCAGAGGCUAGCAACUUUAUUCUCCUCCUCUGCAAGAAAUUAAAAGGGAUCUACUACACCACCUCAGUCAGGAUAUGGCAGCAGUUUGAAAGCACACUGCCCUCAAAGGACCUUCUGAAUUUCAUUGUGAAGCCCGAGUCAAGGGUCAAGCAAAACCAGCUUGUGGUGGCCUGAGGUGUGAAAGUUAGCUGAGAGACCAAGGCAAAGAUGUGUUUGAAGCAGCACCUCACCUGCAUUGCACGGCAAUGAAAAAACGAGAGUUCACAUUCCUCUUCUUUUUCCUCUCUCUGGAAAUGAUUUCAACAAGGCCUGAUAAUGCAUUUUCAACUCCUUUGUUUUUAUAUGUGAGUUUGUGAAAUAGCUUUCAUUAUUCUUUUUAGUCUUUUCCAUGGGCACUCAAGUCAAGGCCUGCAAUAUGUAUUUACUUCCUUGUUUUGUUGUUUUGAACUAGGUGCUCAUUAAAGCAGGAAAGGAUAUAUUAAGUCUACAUUUAGGACUACAAGGACGCCAUUUCUUUCUUCAUCAAAUUGGCUGUCGUGGUUCAAAAGCUUUCUGUGAAAAAGAAGGAGGAACCUCUGUAGUCAGACAUGUCUUCCCAAAACCAGUUCAGAACAGGGCCAGGCUGGACUUGUGGAGCUCCUGUGUUUGCUCCAAAUGGUUGUGGUAACAGACUUUGCUUAUUGAAAAAAGCAAAGCUAGAUAAUGCAGCUGGCCUUGGCUGAUCUUUCUCCACCCACUAUCCCUCCUUGAUAACAUUUUGAGAAAAACCAGAACCACAAAAAUACACUUUCCCCCUGAAGC